RNAcentral lists this transfer RNA (71 nucleotides) under bacterium. RNAcentral describes it as "tRNA-Gly". It matches the Rfam family "tRNA". From Rfam's summary of the family: Transfer RNA (tRNA) molecules are approximately 80 nucleotides in length. Their secondary structure includes four short double-helical elements and three loops (D, anti-codon, and T loops). The record is from RNAcentral.
GCGGGAUUAAUUUAAUGGUAGAAUGCCAGUUUUCCAAACUGGAGACGAGGGUCCGAUUCCCUCAUCCCGCA